Molecule: ribosomal RNA, 274 nt
Filed under: uncultured bacterium
Lineage: Bacteria
Description: partial 16S ribosomal RNA
Rfam family: Bacterial small subunit ribosomal RNA
Source: RNAcentral
AGACGGAGGGGGCUAGCGUUGUUCGGAAUUACUGGGCGUAAAGCGCGCGUAGGCGGAUUGAUUAGUCAGAGGUGAAAUCCCAGGGCUCAACCCUGGAACUGCCUUUGAAACUGUCAGUCUUGAGUUCGAGAGAGGUGAGUGGAAUUCCGAGUGUAGAGGUGAAAUUCGUAGAUAUUCGGAGGAACACCAGUGGCGAAGGCGGCUCACUGGCUCGAUACUGACGCUGAGGUGCGAAAGCGUGGGGAGCAAACAGGAUUAGAUACCCCAGUAGUCC